AUACGUAGGGAGCGAGCGUUGUCCGGAAUUACUGGGUGUAAAGGGAGCGUAGGCGGGAGUGCAAGUCAGAUGUGAAAUACAUGGGCUCAACCCAUGGGCUGCAUUUGAAACUGCAUUUCUUGAGUGAAGUAGAGGUAAGCGGAAUUCCUGGUGUAGCGGUGAAAUGCGUAGAUAUCAGGAGGAACACCGGUGGCGAAGGCGGCUUACUGGGCUUUUACUGACGCUGAGGCUCGAAAGCGUGGGGAGCAAACAGGAUUAGAUGCCCGGGUAGUCCACGCUGUGAACGAUGAUUACUAGGUGUGGGGGGACUGACCCCAUCCGUGCCGCAGUUAACACAAUAAGUAAUCCACCUGGGGAGUACGGCCGCAAGGUUGAAACUCAAAUGAAUUGACGGGG
Molecule: ribosomal RNA, 396 nt
Filed under: uncultured bacterium
Lineage: Bacteria
Description: partial 16S ribosomal RNA
Rfam family: Bacterial small subunit ribosomal RNA
Source: RNAcentral